Molecule: long non-coding RNA, 2766 nt
Organism: Manis javanica (Malayan pangolin)
Lineage: Eukaryota; Metazoa; Chordata; Mammalia; Pholidota; Manidae
Source: RefSeq, a predicted model, not a curated record
UCUCUCCCAUGUAAAGGAGAGGUAGGGUGAAUGGUCAAGGAGGACCUCCUAGGCUCUGGCCCACUUUCUGUAACUCUAAGCUUGCUGGAAUAGUAAAUCCCAAAAUAAAGAUUGCCCUGGCCCGACGCUUGACCAAGUUGGCGCCAGACAGGUAGCAAUUCACCUGUGUGCGAAAAGGAUCAGCAAGACACUUGAAGGCAUCUGCUCUGGAACCUUUUAUCCCGGGGACUUGAAGGGUGAAUGAUUACAAGAUUUCCACUGGGCAAUUUCCAGAUGAAGAAAUGGACAUUUCUGAGGGGCUGAGUAAUUUGCCUAAAGUCAUCUGCCAGCCUUUCAGGACCCCUGCAUCAUUUCGGCCAUAAAGGAGCUGAGAGUACCAGACAGAGAUGCAGUCCCAGCCUUGCAGGCGCUGUCGCCUUAUUGGAGGAAGAGUGACAGCAGGAACACGUGGAAGUACGCAAGGUGGGGCUUGGGGAGGUGAUUUGGUCAUGAAGGCAGAGCCCUGAAGGACGGAUUGGUGUCCUUAUAAAAGAGACCCUGGACAGCUCCCUUGCCCCUUCCACCACCUGAGGACACGACUCAAGGAUCCUGGAAGCAGGCUCUCACCAGACACCAAAUCCAUUGGCGCCUUGAUCUUGAACUUCCCAGCUUCCAGAACUGCAUUUAUGAAACUACUAUGGUAUACUGAGUAGCAUGGACUGGGCUCUCUGUGCAUUGCUGUGCCAUAACCCAGGGACAAGCAGUGACAGCUGCCACCUCCUUUCCUGCCCUUCUCCAACUACGGAAUCCAUGGAUAUUAUGAUAGUCUCAGAAGUCUGCUGUAAAUCUGGUUGAACUCUGUGAGCUGGUGAAGGAGGGACUGAGAAGAGCCAGUUGGCUACCUCCCCCACGUGUUGUUUAUGGUGUGUCUCGGGCUGCAGCUCUGAGCCAGUGACUGAACCUGCCCUAGGGGUCUGCACAUGUGACCCCUGCAGAACCUCAGAUAAAUGAUCACCUCUGCUGCUCAGAACUCUCUCUGCCUCUCCUUUAUGUUUGGCUGUGAUGAAUGCUGGGAGUGGCUCACUUAAGUAGGUGACCUGGCUAGACAAACCCACCGAAUUCUUGGGCUGAUGUUACAAUUACCCUCUUGAUAAGAUCCAGAACCCACAAGGCUGCCCCUGGUGGGCUCAGGACGACGCUGGGCAGUGGCCGAAUGCCAGGAGUGGCCCCUGAGUCUGUCCCCAGCAGCUCCGCCUGUUCCCAGCUCUGCACCCUCACAGCCCAUCUGGCUGGCUCGAAGCCACCUGAUACCUCAGGGCAUCCGAAGCACAAUUCCUCAUCUGUUCCUCCGAGCCCAGCGUCCCUCCCUGCCAUGCGCAUUCCUUGUCCUCAACAACCAGGCUCACAGCUCUGAAAUACCCUUAAAUCCUUCUGGUCCUUCUCCCUCUCUCCCCCUAACCUCUACGGGCUUCUUGAUUGUAUGGAGUUCCUCCUGCUUCAUUUCCUGCAGCCAAAUUUAGGGCCUCCUCCUUGAAUGCUGAUGGGGCUGGAGGACAACCAUCCUGGCCCGCCUGGGACUGAGGAAUGUAGGAUUUCCCAUGCGGCCACCAAGAAGGCCCUGGGAAAGUCGGGGCACGCUGGUCACCCUAUGCCUGGAUUGCGGCCGCAUGCAGUCACCAGCCCGGCCUCUGAGACCACCAUCUCUCCGGCGCCAUCUCCAGCUCAGUUUCCCCAGGAGUGAUUGUUCCUGACCCCUCAAAUCUUCAACCUUCGAGGACUGAGUUUGCUUUCUAAUGAGUUUAAUUUCUGUGGCAUUGAGGCCCCCAGCAAUCUGGCCCUACCUGCCUGGCUGCUGUUGUCUUCCCUUCGCCCCACACAUAGCCUUUAUUCAGCUGUGUCGCCGCUUCCCACGGGACUGUCUCACUCUGGCCUUUGUCUAUGUUGCUUUCUGGCUGCCACCUCUGUCUUGGCCCAUUCUUAGCCUUUUGAACUCUUAGCCAUCAGCUAAGUCUCAGCUCACAUACCACCACCUCUGAGAUGUCACAGGUCUGGUCACCCACCAGAGCAAUGUCCACCCUCCCCACUCUUAUUGUGACUCCCUAAGAGCAUCCUGUCACAUUUGUCACACACCGCAUUGAUGUAAACCUAUGUGUUACCUAUUUGUCCCCCUUCUUGACACUAAAUCCCUCAAAGACAGAGAUCUUACCCAUUUUUUAGAUUCUUCGAAGCUCAUCAAAUUGUGUGCAUGGUAGGUGAUUAGAAAGCAUACAUUCAGGUUGAAGGAACAAAGAGGUUUUAGUAGACUGAGAAUGUCUGCCUGUGAAGGAGGAUGGCACCAGGGCCACACAUUACUGUGGGGAUGGCCCUGAGCCAGGAACACAUGUCCAAGUCACUGUGACUUACAACAUGCACACGUGCCACUUAUGAUUCCCUGAAAUAAGGAAUGAUAGUUGCAAACAUCGAUUGUGCACAUAUUCUGUUCCAGGUACUACGUCUGCCAGGCACAGCAAUCCCACAGGACAGUCCAGGUGGGCCUGGAAGGCGCACUGACUGGAUUUGGAACCCAGCUGCACCACUUACGAGCUGGUGUCUUUGGGCAAGCUGCUUAACUUGUGUACCUCAGUUUCUCAAUUUGCAAAAUGAGGGUAAAAAUAGUAGCUACUUCAAUGGGGUAUUGCAAGGAAUAUUAUACUUCAUUGAAUCCAAGAUGUCAUCCAUUGUGAGGUACACUGUAACCCUGUAUCACUAUAGAAAAAUCUCUCUCAAUUAAACUCUGUAUACCAUAAA